RNAcentral lists this ribosomal RNA (1361 nucleotides) under uncultured bacterium. RNAcentral's name for it is "bacterial SSU rRNA". It matches the Rfam family "Bacterial small subunit ribosomal RNA", at positions 28 to 1381 of the family's 1533-position model. The record is from RNAcentral.
AUUGAACGCUGGCGGCAUGCCUAGCACAUGCAAGUCGAACGGUAGCACAGAGAGCUUGCUCUCGGGUGACGAGUGGCGGACGGGUGAGUAAUGUCUGGGAAACUGCCCGAUGGAGGGGGAUAACUACUGGAAACGGUAGCUAAUACCGCAUAAUGUCGCAAGACCAAAGAGGGGGACCUUCGGGCCUCUUGCCAUCGGAUGUGCCCAGAUGGGAUUAGCUUGUAGGUGAGGUAACGGCUCACCUAGGCGACGAUCCCUAGCUGGUCUGAGAGGAUGACCAGCCACACUGGAACUGAGACACGGUCCAGACUCCUACGGGAGGCAGCAGUGGGGAAUAUUGCACAAUGGGCGCAAGCCUGAUGCAGCCAUGCCGCGUGUAUGAAGAAGGCCUUCGGGUUGUAAAGUACUUUCAGCGGGGAGGAAGGGAGUGAGGUUAAUAACCUUAUUCAUUGACGUUACCCGCAGAAGAAGCACCGGCUAACUCCGUGCCAGCAGCCACGGUAAUACGGAGGGUGCAAGCGUUAAUCGGAAUUACUGGGCGUAAAGCGCACGCAGGCGGUCUGUCAAGUCGGAUGUGAAAUCCCCGGGCUCAACCUGGGAACUGCAUUCGAAACUGGCAGGCUGGAGUCUUGUAGAGGGGGGUAGAAUUCCAGGUGUAGCGGUGAAAUGCGUAGAGAUCUGGAGGAAUACCGGUGGCGAAGGCGGCCCCCUGGACAAAGACUGACGCUCAGGUGCGAAAGCGUGGGGAGCAAACAGGAUUAGAUACCCUGGUAGUCCACGCUGUAAACGAUGUCGACUUGGAGGUUGUUCCCUUGAGGAGUGGCUUCCGGAGCUAACGCGUUAAGUCGACCGCCUGGGGAGUACGGCCGCAAGGUUAAAACUCAAAUGAAUUGACGGGGGCCCGCACAAGCGGUGGAGCAUGUGGUUUAAUUCGAUGCAACGCGAAGAACCUUACCUACUCUUGACAUCCAGAGAACUUAGCAGAGAUGCUUUGGUGCCUUCGGGAACUCUGAGACAGGUGCUGCAUGGCUGUCGUCAGCUCGUGUUGUGAAAUGUUGGGUUAAGUCCCGCAACGAGCGCAACUCUUAUCCUUUGUUGCCAGCGGUCCGGCCGGGAACUCAAAGGAGACUGCCAGUGAUAAACUGGAGGAAGGUGGGGAUGACGUCAAGUCAUCAUGGCCCUUACGAGUAGGGCUACACACGUGCUACAAUGGCAUAUACAAAGAGAAGCGACCUCGCGAGAGCAAGCGGACCUCAUAAAGUAUGUCGUAGUCCGGAUUGGAGUCUGCAACUCGACUCCAUGAAGUCGGAAUCGCUAGUAAUCGUGGAUCAGAAUGCCACGGUGAAUACGUUCCCGGGCCU